This 253-nucleotide ribosomal RNA is filed under the name uncultured bacterium. Its description in RNAcentral is "partial 16S ribosomal RNA". It matches the Rfam family "Bacterial small subunit ribosomal RNA", at positions 524 to 776 of the family's 1533-position model. The record is from RNAcentral.
UACGUAGGGGGCAAGCGUUAUCCGGAUUUACUUGGUGUAAAGGGGGCGUAGACGGCAAGACAAGCCUGGAGUGAAAGGCGGGGGCCCAACCCCCGGACUGCUCUGGGAACUGUCUGGCUGGAGUGCAGGAGGGGUAAGUGGAAUUCCUAGUGUAGCGGUGAAAUGCGUAGAUAUUAGGAGGAACACCAGUGGCGAAGGCGGCUUACUGGACUGUAACUGACGUUGAGGCUCGAAAGCGUGGGGAGCAAACAGG